This 83-nucleotide transfer RNA is filed under the name Brevundimonas albigilva. RNAcentral describes it as "tRNA-Leu". It matches the Rfam family "tRNA". Rfam says of the family: Transfer RNA (tRNA) molecules are approximately 80 nucleotides in length. Their secondary structure includes four short double-helical elements and three loops (D, anti-codon, and T loops). RNAcentral also lists the same sequence under 1 other name. The record is from RNAcentral. Lineage: Bacteria; Pseudomonadati; Pseudomonadota; Alphaproteobacteria; Caulobacterales; Caulobacteraceae.
GCGGCUAUGGCGAAAUUGGUAGACGCAGCAGGUUUAGGUCCUGCCGGGAGACCGUGGGGGUUCGAGUCCCUCUAGCCGCACCA